This 496-nucleotide ribosomal RNA is filed under the name uncultured crenarchaeote. Its description in RNAcentral is "bacterial SSU rRNA". It matches the Rfam family "Archaeal small subunit ribosomal RNA", at positions 860 to 1354 of the family's 1478-position model. The record is from RNAcentral. Lineage: Archaea; Thermoproteati; Thermoproteota.
AGGAAUUGGCGGGGGAGCACCACAAGGGGUGAAGCCUGCGGUUCAAUUGGAGUCAACGCCGGAAAUCUUACCGGGGGCGACAGCAGAGUGAAGGUCAAGCUGAAGACUUUACCAGACAAGCUGAGAGGAGGUGCAUGGCCGUCGCCAGCUCGUGCCGUGAGGUGUCCUGUUAAGUCAGGUAACGAGCGAGACCCCUACCGCUAGUUGCUAUCGCUACUCUCAGGAGUGGCGGGGCUAAUUAGUGGGACCGCCGCCGCUGAGGCGGAGGAAGGAGGGGGCUACGGCAGGUCAGUAUGCCCCGAAACCCUCGGGCCACACGCGGGCUGCAAUGGUAAGGACAAUGGGUUUCAAUCCCGAAAGGGGGAGGCAAUCCGUAAACCUUACCACAGUUAUGAUUGAGGGCUGAAACUCGCCCUCAUGAAUAUGGAAUCCCUAGUAACCGCGUGUCAUCAUCGCGCGGUGAAUACGUCCCUGCUCCUUGCACACACCGCCCGUC